This 468-nucleotide ribosomal RNA is filed under the name uncultured bacterium. RNAcentral describes it as "partial 16S ribosomal RNA". It matches the Rfam family "Bacterial small subunit ribosomal RNA", at positions 28 to 507 of the family's 1533-position model. The record is from RNAcentral.
GACGAACGCUGGCGGCGUGCUUAACACAUGCAAGUCGAACGGUGAAGCUCCAGCUUGCUGCAGUGGAGCAGUGGCGAACGGGUGAGUAACACGUGAGCAACCUGCCCCUGACUCUGGAAUAAGCUCUGGAAACGGCGUCUAAUACUGGAUACGAGAUGUGUCCGCAUGGGCAGCUUCUGGAAAGUUUGUCGGUUGGGGAUGGGCUCGCGUCCUAUCAGCUUGUUGGUGAGGUAAUGUCUCACCAAGGCGACGACGGGUAGCCGGCCUGAGAGGGCGACCGGCCACACUGGGACGGAGACACGGCACAGACUCCUACGGGAGGCAGCAGUGGGGAAUAUUGCACAAUGGGCGAGAGCCUGAUGCAGCGACGCCGCGUGGGGGAUGACGGCCUUCGGGUUGUAAACCUCAUUCAGCAGGGAAGAAGCGAAAGUGACGGUACCUGCAGAAGAAGCACCGGCUAACUACGUG